This 429-nucleotide ribosomal RNA is filed under the name Gemmatimonadota bacterium. Its description in RNAcentral is "Gemmatimonadetes bacterium partial 16S ribosomal RNA". It matches the Rfam family "Bacterial small subunit ribosomal RNA", at positions 355 to 776 of the family's 1533-position model. The record is from RNAcentral. Lineage: Bacteria; Pseudomonadati; Gemmatimonadota.
UAGGGAAUCUUCGGCAAUGGACGAAAGUCUGACCGAGCAACGCCGCGUGAGUGAAGAAGGUUUUCGGAUCGUAAAACUCUGUUGUUAGAGAAGAACAAGGACGUUAGUAACUGAACGUCCCCUGACGGUAUCUAACCAGAAAGCCACGGCUAACUACGUGCCAGCAGCCGCGGUAAUACGUAGGUGGCAAGCGUUGUCCGGAUUUAAUGGGCGUAAAGCGAGCGCAGGCGGUUUCUUAAGUCUGAUGUGAAAGCCCCCGGCUCAACCGGGGAGGGUCAUUGGAAACUGGGAGACUUGAGUGCAGAAGAGGAGAGUGGAAUUCCAUGUGUAGCGGUGAAAUGCGUAGAUAUAUGGAGGAACACCAGUGGCGAAGGCGGCUCUCUGGUCUGUAACUGACGCUGAGGCUCGAAAGCGUGGGGAGCAAACAGG